AGGUGUAAUAUAGUGAACGUGAGUAUCAAUUCCUCCAGCUGUAACUAUUGUUCCCUCUCCAGCUAUAACUUCAGUACUUGCAGAUACAAUAAAAUCUACAUUAUCCAUCAUAUCUGGGUUUCCACCUUUACCGAUGAAUUUAAUCUUUCCAUCUUUUAUACCGAUAUCAGCUUUAUAUACUCCUGUGUAGUCAAGAAUAACUGCAUUUGUGAUUAUUGUAUCAACAACUUU
This 231-nucleotide small RNA is filed under the name uncultured Fusobacterium sp. Its description in RNAcentral is "5' ureB small RNA". It matches the Rfam family "5' ureB small RNA", at positions 17 to 254 of the family's 292-position model. The record is from RNAcentral. Lineage: Bacteria; Fusobacteriati; Fusobacteriota; Fusobacteriia; Fusobacteriales; Fusobacteriaceae.